Molecule: ribosomal RNA, 253 nt
Filed under: uncultured bacterium
Lineage: Bacteria
Description: partial 16S ribosomal RNA
Rfam family: Bacterial small subunit ribosomal RNA
Source: RNAcentral
UACAGAGGGUGCGAGCGUUAAUCGGAAUUACUGGGCGUAAAGCGUGCGUAGACGGUUCUGUAAGUCGGAUGUGAAAUCCCCGGGCUCAACCUGGGAAUUGCAUUCGAGACUGCAAAGCUUGGGUGCGGAAGAGGGAAGCGGAAUUUCCGGUGUAGCGGUGAAAUGCGUAGAUAUCGGCAGGAACACCCAGGGGGAAACCAGCCGGCUGGGGACGUGCUGACGCUCAGGGGCGAAAGCGUGGGGAGCGAACCGG